RNAcentral lists this non-coding RNA (121 nucleotides) under Pseudovibrio sp. Its description in RNAcentral is "TPP sequence". It matches the Rfam family "TPP riboswitch aptamer (THI element)". From Rfam's summary of the family: Vitamin B(1) in its active form thiamin pyrophosphate (TPP) is an essential coenzyme that is synthesised by coupling of pyrimidine and thiazole moieties in bacteria. The previously detected thiamin-regulatory element, thi box was extended, resulting in a new, highly conserved RNA secondary structure, the THI element, which is widely distributed in eubacteria and also occurs in some archaea. Lineage: Bacteria; Pseudomonadati; Pseudomonadota; Alphaproteobacteria; Hyphomicrobiales; Stappiaceae. The record is from RNAcentral.
ACACGUAUGCAGGGGAGUCUCACCUAGGAGACUGAGAGGCUGACAGAGCGCAAGCUCGGCGACGCGACCCUUUGAACCUGACCCAGUUGAUACUGGCGUAGGAAGCACGGGUCGCGCGGCC